CAGUAGCCGCGGGAAUACGAAGGGUGCAAGCGUUGUUCGGAAUUACUGGGCGUAAAGCGCACGUAGGCGGCUCGGUAAGUUAGAGGUGAAAGCCUGGAGCUCAACUCCAGAAUUGCCUUUAAGACUGCCGAGCUAGCAGGUGAGAGAGGUAAGUGGAAUUCCGAGUGUAGAGGUGAAAUUCGUAGAUAUUCGGAAGAACACCAGUGGCGAAGGCGGCUUACUGGCUCAUACUGGACGCUGAGGUGCGAAAGCGUGGGGAGCGAACAGGAUUAGAGACCCCAGUAGUCCCUGUCUCUUAUAC
RNAcentral lists this ribosomal RNA (301 nucleotides) under uncultured bacterium. RNAcentral's name for it is "partial 16S ribosomal RNA". It matches the Rfam family "Bacterial small subunit ribosomal RNA", at positions 509 to 807 of the family's 1533-position model. The record is from RNAcentral.